RNAcentral lists this transfer RNA (44 nucleotides) under Bryoxiphium norvegicum. RNAcentral describes it as "partial tRNA-Phe". Lineage: Eukaryota; Viridiplantae; Streptophyta; Bryopsida; Bryoxiphiales; Bryoxiphiaceae. The record is from RNAcentral. RNAcentral also lists the same sequence under 1 other name.
AAACAGCCGGAAUAGCUAGAAACUUAUAAAUAAGGAAAGAGAGG